This 1168-nucleotide long non-coding RNA is filed under the name Hordeum vulgare. RNAcentral describes it as "long non-coding RNA (HVUL_LNC006150)". The record is from RNAcentral. Lineage: Eukaryota; Viridiplantae; Streptophyta; Magnoliopsida; Poales; Poaceae.
AGGUACAUACCAUAGCAACGAAAUAACUAUCGAUCGGGUAUAUGUACAAAUGCUCUGUGGAGCUUUAAUGCAUAUAAGAAAAUAAAAUGAUAUAUACCCAAGACGAUACAAUGUCGACAGCAAGUAAAAAAAUUGCAAAAAGGAAAAUAAAAUAUAAGUAGUAGUUGAUCAGUAUCCGAAUCAAGUAAGGCAAGCAAACAGAGGGGGUAUAUCCUUCUUUUCUUAAAAAAAAAAAGAACACCUCACACCAGCGUCGGCUCAUCGAUUUCAUUUCGUGGACAAGAGAAGACGGCGUCGGCGGUGCUGCCGCUGUGACGGUGCCGCGGCUGCCGUCUGGGGUGGUGGCGGCGACGAGGUGUCACCGUCGUGGUCGAGACUUUGGCCUCGCACAGACCGCCCCUGGGGCGACGGAGGUGGCCGCGGAGGACGCGAUCCUCUACUCUCUACAUGUAUCACAAAGCAAAUGUAAUGAGUUGCAACAAAAAGGAGAUAUCAAAUAUUCCCUUAGGCCUUGUUUGGUACAAGUGUUUUUGACGAGAUUGGUGGGGAUAAUCCCUCAAGGGAUUGGGUGAAACCACAACCUUCACCCAAUCCCUUCAAAUCCUUAUUUAUCCCCAAUACAUUAGGUAGGGGUAGUGUAUUGGAUAUUGAAAAAAAUGCACUAUAAUUUGAGAAUUUGAGAGGAAAUGUGGGGAUGAAACAUGUCAAAUACACUAGAACCAAAUGAAGUUAUGUGAUGUGUGGGGAUUGAGGGGUUUGACCGAAAUAAUCCUCAUAAAUUUCCUAAAAUACACUAGUACCAAACAAGGCCUUAGUGUCAUAAAUAACAUCAGACCUUUUUGCAAACUAUGUUAUCUCAAUAAAAACGUCCUAUAUUAUGAAAGGAAGGGAGUAGUGUAAUGCAUACUCCCUACUAUAACAUGCACACACGAAGGACACGAUCGACUCGAGAGCGAUUAGCAGUAGUAGUUACCGGCUGCUGAGCAGAUGAACGUAGCAGCCAGGAUGAUGAUCAGGAGCACCAGGGUGUGUGCCCAAGAAGAGGAGCCGCUCGCCAUGGCCAUCUUCUCUUCUUUCUCUCUCUCUAUCUCUCUAUGUGGAUGUGAUGCUUUUGCUUCAAUCGGAGCAACCUACAAGGAAUGGGCCAAACCAGACCACGGCAAGCUUG